RNAcentral lists this ribosomal RNA (329 nucleotides) under uncultured bacterium. RNAcentral describes it as "bacterial SSU rRNA". It matches the Rfam family "Bacterial small subunit ribosomal RNA", at positions 568 to 898 of the family's 1533-position model. The record is from RNAcentral.
UGUGUAGGCGGUUUGGUAAGUCUGGUGUGAAAUCUCCCGGCUCAACUGGGAGGGUGCGCCGGAAACUGCCGGACUCGAGUGCGGGAGAGGAGAGUGGAAUUCCUGGUGUAGCGGUGAAAUGCGUAGAUAUCAGGAGGAACACCGGCGGUGUAGACGGCUCUCUGGACCGUAACUGACGCUGAAACACGAAAGCGUGGGUAGCAAACAGGAUUAGAUACCCUGGUAGUCCACGCCCUAAACGAUGCAUAUUUGGUGUGGGUCAUUCAGUUGAUCCGUGCCGGAGCUAACGCGUUAAAUAUGCCGCCUGGGGAUACAGUCGCAAGGCUGAA